GGUGAAUUAGAUCAUUGUGGUGGAUACAAUAUGUCUGGGCCAAGCUCGUCAACAUUCCAACGUUAGAUUUGAACAGGCAAACCUUAACUAGUAGGCGUGGCAAGACACACCAUCACGAUAGAGGUACCAUCAUCUGGUUUUGCAAUCCACAUGUCACGACCUCAACACUUCUAAGAUCUACGAAUGAGGUCCCUCUCACUUUUUUCAACCACCACCUCCUCUUUUUAUUUUAUUUUGAUAACUGUGGUGUUUGGGCUAGCUUGCGAGAGCCUCAACU
RNAcentral lists this unclassified non-coding RNA (277 nucleotides) under Hevea brasiliensis (rubber tree). The record is from RNAcentral. Lineage: Eukaryota; Viridiplantae; Streptophyta; Magnoliopsida; Malpighiales; Euphorbiaceae.